Transfer RNA from Sphaerobolus stellatus SS14, 94 nucleotides. It matches the Rfam family "tRNA". Rfam says of the family: Transfer RNA (tRNA) molecules are approximately 80 nucleotides in length. The record is from Rfam. Lineage: Eukaryota; Fungi; Basidiomycota; Agaricomycetes; Geastrales; Sphaerobolaceae.
GGCGAGAUGGCCGAGUUGGUCUAAGGCGUGAGACUAGGGUGGUCCUUGUAGUCUCAUUUUUUCGGGGGCGCGGGUUCAAAUCCCACUCUUGUCA